AUAACUGACGCUGAGGCACGAAAGCGUGGGUAGCAAACAGGAUUAGAUACCCUGGUAGUCCACGCCCUAAACGAUGCAUAUUUGGUGUGGGCCAUUCAUUUGGUCUGUGCCGGAGCUAACGCGUUAAAUAUGCCGCCUGGGGAGUACAGUCGCAAGGCUGAAACUCAAAGGAAUUGACGGGGGCCCGCACGAGCGGUGGAGCAUGUGGUUUAAUUCGACGCAACGCGAAGAACCUUACCUGGGCUCGAAAUGCUAUGGACAGUCUGUGAAAGCGGAUCUUCCCGCAAGGGACCGUAGUAUAGGUGCUGCAUGGCUGUCGUCAGCUCGUGUCGUGAGAUGUUGGGUUAAGUCCCGCAACGAGCGCAACCCUUGUCCUGUGUUGCCAUCAUUUAGUUGGGAACUCGCAGGAGACCGCCAGGGAUAACCUGGAGGAAGGUGGGGAUGACGUCAAGUCCUCAUGGCCUUUAUGUCCAGGGCUACACACGUGCUACAAUGGACGGUACAAAGGGCUGCCAACCCGCAAGGGGGAGCCAAUCCCAAAAAACCGUUCUCAGUUCGGAUUGCAGGCUGCAACUCGCCUGCAUGAAGCUGGAAUCGCUAGUAAUGGUGGAUCAGAACGCCACCGUGAAUACGUUCCCGGGCCUUGUACACACCGCCCGUCACAUCACGAAAGUGGGUUGUACUAGAAGUCCGCACGCCGACCCGCAAGGGGGGCAGCGGCCCAAGGUGUGACUCAUGAUUGGGGUGAAGUCGUAACAAGGUAGCCGUAGGAGAACCUGCGGCUGGAUCACCUCCUUUCUG
RNAcentral lists this ribosomal RNA (801 nucleotides) under uncultured bacterium. RNAcentral describes it as "bacterial SSU rRNA". It matches the Rfam family "Bacterial small subunit ribosomal RNA", at positions 736 to 1533 of the family's 1533-position model. The record is from RNAcentral.